GAGUCCGGCAUGCAGUGAGGGCCCAAUGAAUGUGGACCCUAAAUAUGCUUUUGGGCAAGGUAAAUAAUUGAGACUCCUUGAAGGAGUGAUUAUUAAACUAUUCUGGAUGAAAAUUUUUUGAACAUUUGGUGAAAAGUUGUGGAUUCACUCCCCAGAUAAGUUCACACCUCUGCAUAUACGUAAAGUGCUGGAUACAAUUUCAGGCCAUUCAGAGAUCCUUCUGAAAGUCCACCAUUGGAUGCCAGGAUAUGACAGGCUUUACUAGACCAAGAAGUUUUAACCAAUUAUUUAAGUAUAAACAUAUACACUCAAAGUCCUGUUGUUGCUUCAUCUUCUGAGUGUCUCAAAAGUCCUGUUCUGAAUAACUCCUCUGCUAGGAAGCUUCAGGCCCUUGAGAGGCUAGCCAUCAUUUCUGUACAUUUUCUGAAAUUUCAUUGUGUGCAUUAUAUAUAGUCUUAAGCAAUCCCAUAAUUGUUCAGCUCUCUGGACUCUCUUCUUCUUAGGCACAAGCAUCUCAUCUUUCCUAGCCCUGUGCAUGCAUACAUGUGUGAGGAGGUGUAUUUUCAUGCCAGCAUGCACAGAGCACAAUCUUCCUGAGGAUCAAUUUCCUUAUCUGUAAUAUGGAGACACCUUAUCAGCUCAGAGUUGCUAAGAAAUUGAAAUGAGAAUAUGAAUGUGAACAUUUUUUAAUUACUUAUAAAGGACCAUAAAAAUUGGUGACAUGUCAUUAUUAGUGUCAUCAUAUUGUUAUUAUGUAUAAAACCUCAAUGCAAUUUGCAGCCUUCCUUAUCUUUUCAGGAAGUUACUUACAAAUGUUUGUCCACUUCUAAAAUAAUGAUGUUAUAACUUUCCAAUAGCAUUACUCACAUUGGCAACAUCCUCUGCUCCAGAAGAAGAAAUUGUUCAUAGCCUGGGUCCAUCUUAUGAGUUUAAUGAGUAAUUCUGAGUCCCACAGGGCUGAAAUUGGGUGAGUUCACAGUGGCAU
Long non-coding RNA from Homo sapiens (human), 985 nucleotides. NCBI's taxonomy places the organism in Eukaryota, Metazoa, Chordata, Mammalia, Primates, Hominidae. The record is from Ensembl.